GUAAAGUUUUAUUCUUGCUUUGUCGUUCAAUUUUUGUUUGUUCUAUAUGUAAGUUUGUGCAUGAUUAUUUUGUUAGUUCUAGAUGGGCUGACAGGGUUUAUGUUUUAAUAAUUCUCAUUAGUUGUUAUUGGUUGAUCAAGUAUUCUUGUAUUCAGCAAUACAUUUUGGUUUCGGUUAAAUUUUGUGCCAGCAGCCGCGGUUAUACUUUGGAAGUGUUUGAAUGUGUUCGGCAUUUUGUAGUUAUUUGUUAGUUAAUUGAUUAUAUUUUGUUAGUUGUUAGGUGAAAUUUUUAUUGUUAUGGUUUUCUUUUAUCUUUUUAGAGGCUAUGAAAUUCUUUUUAUAGACUAGGAUUAGAUACCCUAUUAUUUUAGAAUGUUAAUUUGUUUUUUGCCUGAGUAGUAUUAGUUAUGUUCUUGAAACUUAAAGAAUUUGGCGGUAUCUCAUUCCGUCCAGAGGAAUCUGUCUCGUUAUCGAUAGUCCGCGUUGGACCUUACUUGGUUGUUUUGGUUUGUAUACCGCCGUUUAUUUGAUUAUCUUUUUAGAGUUUUAAAUUUUCUGGUUUCUUUAUUUUGAUUUAUUUCAGGUCAAGGUGCAGCUUGUUUCUAAGUGGAAUGAUGGAUUACAUUGAUUGAUUUGUUUUUGGAUUGCCUUUUUAAAUUUGGGCAUGAAAUUGGAUUUGGUUGUAAUUGUUUGUAGAUUGUUAUUAUGAUAAUUGGUUCUGGGAUAUGCACACAUCGCCCGUCGCUCUCAUUGCUGUUAGAUGAGAUAAGUCGUAACAAAGUGGUUGUACCGGAAGGUGCAGCUGGAUUGAA
RNAcentral lists this non-coding RNA (812 nucleotides) under Amitermes dentatus. The record is from RNAcentral. Lineage: Eukaryota; Metazoa; Arthropoda; Insecta; Blattodea; Termitidae.